ACGCCCCUCCAACUCCGCAUUAGCGGAGGACUGGGAGGUGCCCCGGGACCCGGUGGAGCUAGGUGGUUGAGCUAUCUUCUCCCUUCUAAGGUGCGGAGUGGUGGCUAUGUUAACAGUUUCCCCUUCACAGAUGAAAGAACUCAAGUUUCAAAAAGUUUUUACCUACUCAGAUCUGACAAAUAGUUUCUCAGAUGGUCAGGCACCAAAACAGAACAGAAGGGAACGGGAAAGUUUCCCAGGAUGGUCGGUAGCACGUAGAGGUGUUUUAGCUGUUGAUCUGAUGCUCAGCUAGGUCAUGCUGGCUUACACACUCCCUAGCCGCAGUACAUUCCCUACCAGUCCAAACUAGAUGCCAUACUUUAUAGGGUUUUAAAAAUCAUUUUUGACUAGAAGACUGGUAGAAAGAGCAGACACAGGUGGAAUAUGAAGUAUGAUGUGCUCAGUGCUGACAUCUGAGGCAGGAGCUCAUCGUGUAGAUCAGGCUGGCCUUAAACUCAGAAAUCUCUCUGACUACCUUCUCAUAUUGUGAUCAAAGUCAUGUGCCACCAUGUCUGGCAAAGUCUUCAUUUUGGUAACUGAUGAAAACCUUUUUCUUAAAUAUACCGUCAGUGCUAAGUAGUGAACGAGCACAGGGCAUGCUAUCCACCCACAAACUGUUCGAUGAAGGGAAAUGAGACAAACUGAGAUGUGGAAACAGGGAGCCUGGAUGUGGUGGUUCUAAGUAUGGUAAUGUUCAAAAACUCAAUGAAAAUCCUUUCUUGGCUUCCUCUCCUGGCUUGUUAGUGCUGCCCCUGUUUUAACGGGGCAAAGCAGAAGUGACAGCACUGACCUCAGAGGAAAGGUCAUAAAAGGCACUAGUGCAUGUUUUUGCUAGGCUUUUCAUUCACUUCAGUCAGGGGUUGUCGAUUGUUAUGCCAUAAUACCAGAGGAACUAUGGAGAGGUGCCGCUCUCUGUGGAGCUGAAACCUACAAAGCUUUGUGGUUUGUCUCGGAAACAGACCCUCUAUGCCUGGUCCAGCCCUGAGCUGACUGCAGACUUUAUGAGACUUUCAGCUAGGAAUACCCAGCUUAGCCACUUCACUGGGGUGGGGUAGUUGUCUCUUUAGGAGUGCUCCUCCUGUAAGCACAGGGCUGGGGACUCUAUCCCCAACAAUCAUGGAAGUGAAUGCCUGGAUCCUGGCACGAAGGAGAGUCAGAAAUUCAAGGAUAAAUCUGGGACCAGCCUGGGUGGGCUAUGAGACCUGUCUUAAAAAUGGGCGGGGGUAGACUUGUUACAUGGCAUAAGUAACUAUUAGACAAGGUAAAGGAGAAAGUAUGGGGCACACAUGAAUGUGAGAGUCACUGUAGCUUUUGUGUAAACUUCAAAAUAAAACGUUAAAAAUAAACCUGGUUGGAUGUCCUGUUCCUUCUACUUCCAUGCCGACAAGGAAUGGAAAAUAAACCAAGUUUCAUGGAUGGGAAAAGAAAAGCAUCUUGGGUGGUAAGAUUUUUCAUCAUACUUACUUUAAAAAUAAAAUCCUCAUAUAGAAACUAUCUUGACGUCCAACCUGAAGCUGCUGAGAGUGGGAGAGACUUUGUAUCUAAUCCUGAGAGCUUAUUUUGGACGCAUCUGUGAUGUAGAAAGAGACGGACCAGGAUUCAAGGACAGCCUCUACAGGAAGUACAAGGGAAAUACUCAUCUAUUUAUUCCCUGUUGGAGUCUUCACACCAGUUAUACCAACUUAAAACAAAGUGUUGCGUGGUGGCACACGCCUCAAUUCCAGCAGCCAUUAGGCAGAGUCCAGCAUCCCUGUGACUUUGAGGCCAGCAAGAGCUAUGUGGAGAGAGAUCCUCUCUAAAGCAAACAAACGGUUUUAGCCCUCUCCUAAAGAACAGCUUUCCUGUAACUAGGUAAAAAUAUAUAUGAGUUCCCUAUGUACACCACACCUCUACUUUAAAUGCUCUCUGACUUCCCCUUUGUGUCUUUUCCUCCUUUUAUCAAAAUGAAAACACCCUUCCUACUUUAAAAGCACCACUAUCCUUUACACUUCUCUACUUUCCAGGUCCUCAGCCAUAUGACUUCAAAUAACUCUAGCAAAGUAUGCUUUAAGGAAAAUGAUUUCUUUAUUUUUAUAUUUUUCAGAAUAUCAAGAUGUAUUUUUGGAGAUAAAUUAGUCAUCUCUUGAACAAUUCACAAAAGCCACAUUCACACUGAAGAAAUUUGACAGAAACACUCUCGUAGAUUUUUUUAAGUACAAUACUUGAUAACCGAAACUCGAGGUUAAGAAGUGGUCAAAGCCAUCAUCGGGUUCUGUAUUUACUGCUUGAGUCUCACUGAUAGAACUGGCUCAGUGAACGUCACUGCUGAAUCCCACGUGCCAACACAGCCUCCAGACCUGGCGCACCGGUGGCCUAUAGACACCUACAGGGGCCACAUCCUAUGGCACACAAGAUGAAUGCAGUCAAAGAGGGUAUGUGUGAUGGUUUUAAAUAAAGCUAUAGCUAGGAAGACUGUGAGGACCAUGCAAAGUUCAUUUGUACAAGCUCAACCAUUGAAUGCGCCUCAUUUAGUAUGAAGCUAACCAUGGCAUGUGACUUUUAAAAAAUGCCCAAAGGCAUACAUUUUAAAAUUUAACUUAAAAAUUAAAAUGUGGCAAUUACUAAAAUACAUAUUUAGUACAUGUUGGAGCUAAAAAGUCCUCCAAACCACCAAAUGUUCAAGAAUUAUUCUCUGUCUUUUUACCACGAUGAGGAUGGGCUUGGUGGGAAGCCAUAGGUCACUUGCAAGCCUAUGAUCAGGACUGUGCAUCCCUAGCCUCUUCUUCUCCACUUCUAUUUAUUGUGCUACCAUAAAUAAAUAGCUUCCUCUGUCUUGCAUGUUCUGAUGUUAUGUCCUGCCCUGACACAGGCCCAAAAUCAAUGGAACAUCAGCUCGAAGCCCCAAAAUUUUAAGAGGAGGCAAACAUUAUCUCUGUAAGCUGAUCUAUCUUGUGUUUGUCACAGUGACAGAAGGCUGUCUAGCAGUAUACAAGAAUACAUAUGAGUUACAUCAGUAUAUAUAGAUAGAUCUUUCACAUUCCCAUAGUGGCCGGAUAUUCCACUGACUAGUAGUAUUAGAUAUCUUUUAUACCGACACUAACAUACUACAGGCCUCUUGGGCUGACUCUUAUUUUUGAUGAGGAAACUUCUCCCCAAGUCCAUGCGAUGAAAUGGACUCAGUAGUUGAAUCCAGGCAAUUUGGCCCUGGGUCCUCUUUUACUUUACAUUUUCUCUCUGUCUUCUAAAAUACAAUCUUAGUUAUACUUAAUCAAAAUAGUAAUUCAUUCAGACAGUAAUAUUUUCAUUUUGUUUUGUUUUCUUGUUUUUUUAAACAGUUGUAACCGAUGCUAACAUUUUCUUCUCCUCUAAGCUAUUUGCCACCAGUUAGGAAGGAGUAGGGUAAAAAGACAAAACAUUACCCUGAAAUAAAACAGCAUGUCACGACUGUAAAAGAGAUGAAAAUUGCUUCCUUUCCAACUUCUUACAUUGUAGGAGUAAAAUAUGUAAAUUAGUUGUAGCAUCUUCACACAUGCUAAGACUCCAUAAUUGAGGGCAGGGGCAGGCUACACUCUCCGAUCAUCAACCUAUUUUUCUAUAUCAUGAGCUAAGGCAUUCAUUUCAAAUCCAGUUUUCUAAGGGCAAGAUCAUUACCAGUUCUUUGUGUCAACAUCGCAUUUGCACUCAAGGCCUAUAUACUUAAGACUUAGGGAGAUCUACAAAUAUAAGAACAUAAUACUUGUCUGGUUCUUUUUAAGAUUUGGUCUCCCUGUGUAGCCUGGUUGGUUUCCUGCCUCAGCCUUAUGAGUGCUAGGAUCAGAGAUGUGCACCACCAUACAUGAGUGGUACAGUUAUUUAGAGAUAUAUAUUAGAAAGCUUCUAAA
This 3899-nucleotide small RNA is filed under the name Rattus norvegicus (Norway rat). Its description in RNAcentral is "uncharacterized LOC102548510". The record is from RNAcentral. Lineage: Eukaryota; Metazoa; Chordata; Mammalia; Rodentia; Muridae.